GACGAACGCUGGCGGCGUGCCUAAUACAUGCAAGUCGAACGAACCGCGACUAAGUGCUUGCACUAAGUCAAGGUGAGUGGCGAACGGGUGAGUAACACGUGGGUAACCUACCUCAUAGUGGGGGAUAACAGUCGGAAACGACUGCUAAUACCGCAUAGGACAUAGGAUCACAUGAUCCAGUGAGGAAAGGUGGCGCAAGCUAUCGCUAAGAGAUGGACCCGCGGUGCAUUAGCUAGUUGGUAGGGUAAAGGCCUACCAAGGCGAUGAUGCAUAGCCGACCUGAGAGGGUGAUCGGCCACAUUGGGACUGAGACACGGCCCAAACUCCUACGGGAGGCAGCAGUAGGGAAUCUUCCGCAAUGGACGCAAGUCUGACGGAGCAACGCCGCGUGAGUGAAGAAGGUCUUCGGAUCGUAAAGCUCUGUUGUUAGAGAAGAACAGCGCAUAGAGUAACUGUUAUGCGUGUG
This 466-nucleotide ribosomal RNA is filed under the name Abiotrophia defectiva. RNAcentral describes it as "bacterial SSU rRNA". It matches the Rfam family "Bacterial small subunit ribosomal RNA", at positions 28 to 471 of the family's 1533-position model. The record is from RNAcentral. Lineage: Bacteria; Bacillati; Bacillota; Bacilli; Lactobacillales; Aerococcaceae.